UGUGGCGCACGGGUGCGUAACACGUAUGCAACCUACCUUAUACUGAGGGAUAGCCUUUCGAAAGGGAGAUUAAUACCUCAUAACACAUUGAACUGGCAUCAGUUUAUUGUUAAAGAUUUAUUGGUAUAAGAUGGGCAUGCGUCCAAUUAGUUAGUUGGCGAGGUAACGGCUCACCAAGACGAUGAUUGGUAGGGGAACUGAGAGGUUAAUCCCCCACACUGGCACUGAGAUACGGGCCAGACUCCUACGGGAGGCAGCAGUAGGGAAUAUUGGGCAAUGGAGGCAACUCUGACCCAGCCAUGCCGCGUGCAGGAAGAAGGCGUUAUGCGUUGUAAACUGCUUUUAUAUAGGAAGAAAUAGACCUUGCGAGGUAAGUUGACGGUACUAUAUGAAUAAGCACCGGCUAACUCCGUGCCAGCAGCCGCGGUAAUACGGAGGGUGCAAGCGUUGUCCGGAUUUAUUGGGUUUAAAGGGUGCGUAGGCGGUUUAUUAAGUCAGUGGUGAAAGACGGUCGCUCAACGAUUGCAGUGCCAUUGAUACUGGUAGACUUGAGUGGGAUUGAGGUAGCUGGAAUGGAUAGUGUAGCGGUGAAAUGCAUAGAUAUUAUCCAGAGCACCAAUUGCGUACGCAAGUUACUAAGUCUCAACUGACGCUGAGGCACGAAAGUGUGGGUAUCAAACAGGAUUAGAUACCCUGGUAGUCCACACUGUAAACGAUGAUAACUAACUGUUGGCUUUCGAGUCAGCGGUA
Molecule: ribosomal RNA, 750 nt
Filed under: uncultured bacterium
Lineage: Bacteria
Description: bacterial SSU rRNA
Rfam family: Bacterial small subunit ribosomal RNA
Source: RNAcentral